RNAcentral lists this non-coding RNA (21 nucleotides) under Caenorhabditis elegans. The record is from RNAcentral. Lineage: Eukaryota; Metazoa; Nematoda; Chromadorea; Rhabditida; Rhabditidae.
UUUGAGGUGAAUUGUAGUUGA